RNAcentral lists this ribosomal RNA (376 nucleotides) under uncultured bacterium. Its description in RNAcentral is "bacterial SSU rRNA". It matches the Rfam family "Bacterial small subunit ribosomal RNA", at positions 521 to 896 of the family's 1533-position model. The record is from RNAcentral.
UAAGACGUAGGAGGCGAGCGUUAUCCGGAUUCACUGGGCGUAAAGCGCAUGUAGGCGGUUGUGUAAGUCCGUUGUUAAAGCCCCUGGCUCAACUGGGGGAGGUCAAUGGAGACUACACUGACUUGAGGGCAACAGAGGCACGUGGAACUCCCGGUGUAGCGGUGGAAUGCGUAGAGAUCGGGAAGAACACCCGUGGCGAAGGCGACGUGCUGGGUUGCAACUGACGCUGAGAUGCGAAAGUGUGGGGAGCAAACGGGAUUAGAUACCCCGGUAGUCCACACUGUAAACGAUGAACCCUAGGUGUGGGGCGGUCAAACGCUCCGUGCCGAAGCCAACGCGUUAAGGGUUCCGCCUGGGGACUAUGAGCGCAAGCUUA